Molecule: ribosomal RNA, 460 nt
Filed under: uncultured bacterium
Lineage: Bacteria
Description: partial 16S ribosomal RNA
Rfam family: Bacterial small subunit ribosomal RNA
Source: RNAcentral
CCUACGGGAGGCAGCAGUGAGGAAUAUUGGUCAAUGGACGAGAGUCUGAACCAGCCAAGUAGCGUGAAGGAUGACUGCCCUAUGGGUUGUAAACUUCUUUUAUAUGGGAAUAAAAUGUUCCACGUGUGCGUUUUUGUAUGUACCAUAUGAAUAAGGAUCGGCUAACUCCGUGCCAGCAGCCGCGGUAAUACGGAGGAUCCGAGCGUUAUCCGGAUUUAUUGGGUUUAAAGGGAGCGUAGGUGGAUUGUUAAGUCAGUUGUGAAAGUUUGCGGCUCAACCGUAAAAUUGCAGUUGAAACUGGCAGUCUUGAGUACAGUAGAGGUGGGCGGAAUUCGUGGUGUAGCGGUGAAAUGCUUAGAUAUCACGAAGAACUCCGAUUGCGAAGGCAGCUCACUGGACUGCAACUGACACUGAGGCUCGAAAGUGUGGGUAUCAAACAGGAUUAGAUACCCGUGUAGUC